This 71-nucleotide transfer RNA is filed under the name Ameiurus melas (black bullhead). It matches the Rfam family "tRNA". Rfam says of the family: Transfer RNA (tRNA) molecules are approximately 80 nucleotides in length. Their secondary structure includes four short double-helical elements and three loops (D, anti-codon, and T loops). Further hydrogen bonds mediate the characteristic L-shaped molecular structure. tRNAs have two regions of fundamental functional importance: the anti-codon, which is responsible for specific mRNA codon recognition, and the 3' end, to which the tRNAs corresponding amino acid is attached (by aminoacyl-tRNA synthetases). tRNAs cope with the degeneracy of the genetic code in two manners: having more than one tRNA (with a specific anti-codon) for a particular amino acid; and 'wobble' base-pairing, i.e. permitting non-standard base-pairing at the 3rd anti-codon position. The record is from Rfam by way of RNAcentral. Lineage: Eukaryota; Metazoa; Chordata; Actinopteri; Siluriformes; Ictaluridae.
GCAUUGGUGGUUCAGUGGUAGAAUUCUAGCUUGCCAUGUUGGAGGCCUCGGUUUGAUUCCUAGCCAAUGCA